This 800-nucleotide ribosomal RNA is filed under the name marine metagenome. Its description in RNAcentral is "bacterial SSU rRNA". It matches the Rfam family "Bacterial small subunit ribosomal RNA", at positions 476 to 1276 of the family's 1533-position model. The record is from RNAcentral.
UACCCGAAUAAGAAGGUCCGGCUAACUUCGUGCCAGCAGCCGCGGUAAUACGAAGGGACCUAGCGUAGUUCGGAAUUACUGGGCUUAAAGAGUUCGUAGGUGGUUGAAAAAGUUGGUGGUGAAAUCCCAGAGCUUAACUCUGGAACUGCCAUCAAAACUUUUCAGCUAGAGUUUGAUAGAGGAAAGCAGAAUUUCUAGUGUAGAGGUGAAAUUCGUAGAUAUUAGAAAGAAUACCAAUUGCGAAGGCAGCUUUCUGGAUCAUUACUGACACUGAGGAACGAAAGCAUGGGUAGCGAAGAGGAUUAGAUACCCUCGUAGUCCAUGCCGUAAACGAUGUGUGUUAGACGUUGGAAAUUUAUUUUCAGUGUCGCAGCGAAAGCGAUAAACACACCGCCUGGGGAGUACGACCGCAAGGUUAAAACUCAAAUGAAUUGACGGGGACCCGCACAAGUAGUGGAGCAUGUGGUUUAAUUCGAAGAUACGCGCAGAACCUUACCAACACUUGACAUGUUCGUCGCGACUUUAAGAGAUUAAAGUUUUCGGUUCGGCCGGACGAAACACAGGUGCUGCAUGGCUGUCGUCAGCUCGUGUCGUGAGAUGUUGGGUUAAGUCCCGCAACGAGCGCAACCCUCACUUUUAGUUGCCAUCAUUUAGUUGGGCACUCUGAAAGAACUGCCAGUGAUAAGCUGGAGGAAGGUGGGGAUGACGUCAAGUCCUCAUGGCCCUUACGUGUUGGGCUACACACGUGCUACAAUGGUAUCUACAACAGGAAGCAAAACGGCGACGUUAAGCAAAUCCUU